UUUCUUAAUGCAGCUUUCCCUUUUUUAUCCUAUACGCCGAGGGUCGAUUGGAAACAGCCUCUCUGCCCUUUCGGGCAGGGGUAAGGCUCGUCUACAUAUCACCCUUCCCAGACCCCACCCAGUGGGAAUAUACUGGGUAGUUAUUGUUGUUGUUGUUGUUGUUGUAAAAUAAAUGGGGCCCUCACGAACAUGAGGCCUAAAGCAGUUGCUUGGGCUGCUUCACCCUGAAGCCACCUCUGAGUUAAGUUGGUGUAUUCCUUGGCUGGAUUGUCUAGGGUAUUUCCGGUUAGAUCCAAAGUCCUUUUGGGAUAAAGUGAUGCAAAUGCAAAGUCAGAAUAGUUGGAUGCUUCUUUAGCUUAAUGGAUCUGCUGAUGCUCUCUCUUGUACUUUAUUUUAGGAAGAUGAACUUUGUAGAUUUGCAGCUCAUUCAAUUAUUGCAUCUAGUUGAGAAGGUCUUUUGCAGGUUGGAAAAUAAUGUGUAAAAGCUUCAGAGAAAUCGUCAAUUAACUUGCCCCUUUUACUUGUACUCUGUUUACAUUUUGUGAAAGUCUGGUGGAUUUGGGUGGAACUCGUAAACCUUCAUACUUCAUUAGCUUGUUCAUGGAUAGAAUAGAAAUCAGUGAAGUUGAGUUGCAAACUUUUGUUUUCUGGUUUAAGCAGAGCAAGAUUCCCAUCUUACAUAAUUGGUAUAUAAAGCCAAAAGGAAGCCGCGACUGCCGUGACAUGGCUCCAAGGUCCUGCAUUGUGAAGUCCCUGCAUUGCUGUGUUUCAGAGAGCAGCAGAUAGCGACGGUUGGCUUUGGUAGCGGAACAAGACUAUUGCCUUUAUUUGACAUUCUACCUUUUUAUUUUUGCUUUUUGCUGUAUUCUGGGGACUAUGGAUCUCAUUGUUCUUUUUGUGUUCCCAUUCAACUCUAUUAUAUCAGUUUCAAGUAUCUUUCUGUUUAUCAGAGUUUAAAGCUUCACAAUUUCAGAGUUUUCCUUCUAAAAGCCUGGAUUGGUAUUUACACAGUCACAUUGCUGGAAACUCCUGAAACUGCGUGCUCAUAAUGUGUCCUUUUGGACAAAAAGCUGAUAAUCCAUGUGUACUGACAUUUUGUGGCUACCUUUUUCCCUUGCACUAAAGACUCUAAACUCUAAAAGCCCCUAACCCUCCAUUUUUUAAGUUGGUUUGAAAAUUAAAUCCAACUGUAUAAGUAGAAUGAAGCCGCUAGAUUGACCAAGUACAAAGACAGAUUUAUAAUCUGCUGAUGCAUGUAAACUUCAAGUUUUCUCCAAAUUGACAAUAAAAAACAUGUUUGGCCAGGAGGUUCCUUUUUCUUAUGGCUGAAAAAUGUUUAGCUAGCAUGAAGUUUGAAUAGGUUUAUGUGGCAACACUCUUGUAGGGUGUAUCAGAAGUUCUACUUACGGUGUAUUUUUUCUUGUGAUGAUGCAGGCGCCUGUGAAAUUCAGGACCUGUGGGAAUAAGGAAAAUGUCUUAAACUUCUCCUUGGGUGAACUCAUGUUGAGAGGACUUUACAUCAGUUUUCUUCCUUCACUUGAUGGUUUGUCCGCGGCCGAUGAACCUUAAACUUUUAAGGUUAAUUGAAUUUGCCAGAAAAAUAAAAGAACAGCGUUGAGCUAAAAGAUUGUUGUGGAAAUUAAUAUUUUUGGCCUGGUAUGCUUGGUAACUUGCUGAGGUUUUGGUUUGUAGUUUGAUGCUUGGCAAACCAUACUACUGAAGGUCCUGAACUGCUACAUAACAUCAGUUUCUGUUUAAAUGCGAGUGUCAGUAGAAAUUGAAGUGAAAGUCGGCCCUUGUAAAGGUUUAUAGAAUGGUGUUUUAAAGCUAGCGCGUACAUUUUCUACCUAUUAAUAUCCCAGGAGUGGCUAGUAUGAGAAAUAAAACCAUACUUUUUCACUUGUUUUAACUAGGGAAAGAUUAAGAGGGUAAACGUUGUUGAAGAUCAGCAAGUUAUCAAGCAGAAAUAUAGAACUAUCAGAAAAUGGAUCCUUUCGUCAUAACUAUCAUUUGUACUCACAUGCCUAAUCAUGACAUAUGGGAAAAGGAUAAAAGGAAAUGGAAAUUUUCCCCAAAAUGUGCACUUUUGGCUCAACAAUACUAGUGGUGUAUUAAUAACAUAAAUGUGUAGAAUACAAUUUAAGGACAAAGCAUAGUUGAAAAAACAAAUGGGAGUACUUAUUAACCGAAUGAUAUUUAUGAGGU
Molecule: long non-coding RNA, 2205 nt
Filed under: Nicotiana benthamiana
Lineage: Eukaryota; Viridiplantae; Streptophyta; Magnoliopsida; Solanales; Solanaceae
Description: long non-coding RNA (NBEN_LNC041301)
Source: RNAcentral